This 1481-nucleotide ribosomal RNA is filed under the name metagenome. RNAcentral's name for it is "bacterial SSU rRNA". It matches the Rfam family "Bacterial small subunit ribosomal RNA". The record is from RNAcentral.
AGAGUUUGAUCCUGGCUCAGGAUUAACGCUAGCGGCAGGCCUAAUACAUGCAAGUCGAACGGUAACAGGUGUAGCAAUACAUGCUGACGAGUGGCGCACGGGUGCGUAACACGUAUGCAACCUACCUAUAACUGGGGAAUAGCCUUCCGAAAGGAAGAUUAACACCGCAUAACAUCAUUCUACGGCAUCGUGGAAUGAUCAAACCUCCGGGGGUUAUAGAUGGGCAUGCGUAACAUUAGCUAGUUGGUGAGGUAACGGCUCACCAAGGCUACGAUGUUUAGGGGGUCUGAGAGGAUGAUCCCCCACACUGGUACUGAGACACGGACCAGACUCCUACGGGAGGCAGCAGUAAGGAAUAUUGGACAAUGGGGGCAACCCUGAUCCAGCCAUGCCGCGUGAAGGAUGACGGCCCUCUGGGUUGUAAACUUCUUUUGUACGGGAAUAAACCCCUCUACGUGUAGAGGGUUGAAUGUACCGUAAGAAUAAGGAUCGGCUAACUUCGUGCCAGCAGCCGCGGUAAUACGAAGGAUCCAAGCGUUAUCCGGAUUUAUUGGGUUUAAAGGGUGCGUAGGCGGGCUAUUAAGUCAGUGGUGAAAGCCCCAAGCUUAACUUGGGAAUUGCCAUUGAUACUGAUGGUCUUGAGUACACUUGAGGUGGGCGGAAUGUGUCAUGUAGCGGUGAAAUGCUUAGAUAUGACACAGAACACCGAUUGCGAAGGCAGCUCACUAAAUUGUAACUGACGCUGAGGCACGAAAGCGUGGGGAUCAAACAGGAUUAGAUACCCUGGUAGUCCACGCCCUAAACGAUGAUUACUCGAUGUGUGCAAUACACCGUACGCGUCUGAGCGAAAGCAUUAAGUAAUCCACCUGGGGAGUACGACCGCAAGGUUGAAACUCAAAGGAAUUGACGGGGGCCCGCACAAGCGGAGGAGCAUGUGGUUUAAUUCGAUGAUACGCGAGGAACCUUACCAGGGCUUGAAAGUUAAGGAAUGAUGUAGAAAUAUGUCAGUCAGCAAUGACCUAAAACUAGGUGCUGCAUGGCUGUCGUCAGCUCGUGCCGUGAGGUGUUGGGUUAAGUCCCGCAACGAGCGCAACCCCUAUCAUUAGUUGCCAACAGGUAAAGCUGGGGACUCUAAUGAGACUGCCCGCGUAAGCGGUGAGGAAGGUGGGGAUGACGUCAAGUCAUCACGGCCCUUACGUCCUGGGCUACACACGUGCUACAAUGGCCGGUACAGAGGGCAGCUACUUGGUAACAAGAUGCUAAUCCUUAAAGCCGGUCUCAGUUCGGAUUGAGGUCUGCAACUCGACCUCAUGAAGCUGGAUUCGCUAGUAAUCGCAUAUCAGCUAUGAUGCGGUGAAUACGUUCCCGGGCCUUGUACACACCGCCCGUCAAGCCAUGGAAGUUGGGGGUACCUGAAGUCGAUCACCGCAGGGAGUCGCCUAGGGUAAAACCAAUGACUGGGGCUAAGUCGUAACAAGGUA